Molecule: long non-coding RNA, 1946 nt
Organism: Phyllostomus discolor (pale spear-nosed bat)
Lineage: Eukaryota; Metazoa; Chordata; Mammalia; Chiroptera; Phyllostomidae
Exons: 2
Source: RefSeq, a predicted model, not a curated record
CAGAGUGACAACUAAAUGGGGUGGAAAAAACUGUUUCCUUAAGGUCUUAACUUUGGUGAAAGAGAAUGGAAGUUAAAAGCAGUGUCUUUAUCACCAUUUGCUCCAGGAUAUAAGAAAACUUUGUGCAGGUCCCCAUGACUCAGAGCUCACAAGUUUUGUUUUACUCUGAUACUUUUGCAAAAUUGAGAUUCAUGGAAAGGACUCUACCAAGUACUCUUGGCCACUGACAGAGCUGCCACGUUAGAAGUUGUCAAACCUCAGGUGCAUAUUUAACAGUCGAUGAAGGCACCACCAUCAUCUGUUCCUGUACAAGUGCUGGAGACCUCAAAAUGAAAUUGACUAAGAAGAGAAGUAGCUGACAUCAAUGCAGACUGCUUCCUCUCAAGACACUGGGUCAAGAACAUUUCUUUCCUUUCCUCCUUCCCACUCUGAUCAUUUCACUAGGAAGGAAGGACUCUUGAAGACUCUUUAAAUUUUUUUGUCCACCUUUUGCCUUGAUAUGACCUGGGAAUAUAAUGCUAUUGUUCACAUAUCUCAGGCCACUGCAAAGUGGGUUAUCCAACCUCCAAACAAUUGUUGGAUUUGCCACAAUACUGAUGAUCCUGUAGUUUUGCUCAUCACAAAACUUCUCCUUGAUUUCCAAUGCCUGUUUUUCUGGAACAAACUUAAAUUUCCUCACCCUGGGUGCCCAUUACCAUGUCUCUGGUUAACAACCCAGGGAACCUUGUAUCCAGGCUCUGUACCCCCAAAAAAAUGGGGUGGGAAGAGGAGCAGACAAGGCAAGGGUAGGUCUACAGAUCCUUAAGUUUGCUGGCCUCUGUGGCUGCCACAUUUCCAGUCCCAAGCCAUGGACUCAAACAGGAAAUAUCAGGAGGCAUUCUUGAUUCAAAAUUAGUGUUAGCUUCCUUUGGCAGAUCCCUACUCUCCUGGACAGGAGUAAAUGCAUGUGAGGCUACAAUCAGGAACCUCUUCUUAACUCUUAAAGCUAUUGCACAACCUGAUGCUAAAGCAAUAGCUACCCACCACACCUCCUUAGUCUCUUUGGCCAAAGUUGUUCUUGAUGAUAGGAUAGCCCUUGAUUAUAUUUUCACUGAGUAGGGAGGUAUUUGUGCUGUGGCAACACCACUUGCUGCACUUGAAUUGACACUUCUGGGGAGGGUGAGACUUUGCUAGCCAGCUAGCUUUAACAAGUGGCUCUUUCAGUGGGGUCUUUCUUUGACUAACUUGAUUCUGAAUGGUUUGGGAAUCAUGGCUCUGAAGUGCACUCCAGACAUGGGAAUUAUCCUGCUUAUGGUAGUCUCUCUGGUUCACUGUAUUCUCUUGAAAGUUUUAAAUGCACAUUCAGAGCCACUAACCACUAAGCAAAUGAUCUCCGUAAAACUGUAACAUCAGAAAAGGAAUGAAGAGAAUGAGCAACUUAAAUAAUGUGAACCAGAUGUCACGGCCUAUGAGUAUACCACACAGAAAUUCAGGGAAAGGAAAAAAAAAGGUGAGAACUACAGAGUGGUAGCUGGGAACAGCACUGAGGCCUUAAAUUUUGAUUACAUCUGACAGUUAAGUCUGAGAGUCUCAUCAAAGAGUUGUGGGGCGGGGGUGGGGGGCAGGAAAUUUUUAAAAACAAGACAAAAGAGGCAAAAUAGAGUCACUUAUGUUAAGCCCCAUGUCACCAAACCAAGAUUUAAUUGUAGUUUUGGCUCUCUUAGAAAUUGAGUCAUAAACCAGUUAAUCAAAAAUCAUUUGAUCAAUAGUAGUUUGGUAAUCUGCCUGACAGACCUCUGACCUCCCCUAAGGAAAGUAAACUUGCAAUAACCAACCCACUUUUUGUUUGGUGUAAUAACCUCCUUGUUCAUGUUUCCUUUUGCCUAUAGGAGUUUUUCAUUUCAUACAGCUUCAUGCUGCCAGAUUCAAGAAUCAAUGAAUAAAGCCAAUAAGAUUUUAAAAAUUUA